Crotalus tigris (Tiger rattlesnake) is the source of this 859-nucleotide long non-coding RNA. RefSeq lists it as uncharacterized. The record is from RefSeq and is a predicted model, not a curated record. The transcript is spliced from 3 exons. NCBI's taxonomy places the organism in Eukaryota, Metazoa, Chordata, Lepidosauria, Squamata, Viperidae.
UAAUGCUGCUGUUGCAGUGAACCAAGACUGUUGAAUGAUUAGCACAGCAAGCAGUGCAGUGAAGGUGCUGAAAGAGUCUAUUAGUUUGCUUAGUCUCAGUCAGCAUGAAGUAUUAAUACAAGCUCUCUGCAAACAAACAGACACAGCCAAGGAGCAAAGUGGGUAAGAUCAACUUCUUCAGCACUUUCUGUCUGGACCUUCCAACAAGAAGAAAAGGUAACAAGAAGAGUCAACAUGAAAGAGUGACAGAAGGUACAAGAUCAACUGUCCUUAAAGUGUCACUAAUCAAUACAGAAAGCUAGAAUUACAGAAUAUUAUCAUCAAUCAUCAUUAAUAUUUUCAAGCCUACAAUGGACUGUUGGUCAGAUCCUGUCUUAUCAAUGCCUGCGGGAGAUAGUAUUAUUAAUCCUUGGUGAUUUCAAUAGCCACCACACAUCUUGGGCUAUAACCAAUGGAUAAGAAUGGGAAUAGAUUAUCUGAUUGGAUUGAAAUAAACAAUCUUACUCUUACAUAUUAUGCUAAAGAUAGAAGUGAAUUUUAUUCUACUCGUUGGCAAAAGAAUUAUUCCCAGAUCUUUGUUUUCAACAUAGUCCUAUAAUCUACAGAAUAGGACUCCAGAUUCCAGUAAUUAGGUCCACCUCUAAAUCUCAUUGGAACUUCCAGAAAACAGAUUGGAAUACUUAUACUAAGCACACUGAUGUUAACAUCAGAUGAAUCAAAGCAGUCCUUAAGAACCACAACAGAUUUAUUGGCUUAUACCAGCAUCAAAUUCCUGGAUGUGCAGCUAACAAAUAGGCUGGCUUGGUCGCUCAACAGCAAGACACUGGUGAAGUGGCCACAGCAGCACCUGCAUUUUCUG